Long non-coding RNA from Cyprinus carpio (common carp), 1269 nucleotides. The record is from Ensembl. Lineage: Eukaryota; Metazoa; Chordata; Actinopteri; Cypriniformes; Cyprinidae.
AUGAAAAUCUCAAAUGAGACCAAAACCCCCGUUAAAGGGGUGAAGGGUCCCUGUUGGCUUAGCAAACUUAAAUGUUAUAACCUUAUCAAAGGCACUGCCAUAGAUUACAUGCACUCAGUCCUUCUUGGAGUAAUGCGCCUUCUGAUGGUUCUGUGGUUUUCUCCAGAGUUUUCUCGUCAGCCCUUCAGCAUGGCAAAAAAUGCAAAGGAAAUUGACAGGCGAUUUCAGGAUAUCUCUCCUCCAUCCUCCACUCGAUAUCCUCGAUUAGUGACAUCUCACAGAAUGUUUUUUAAAGCAUCAGAAUAUCGGGAUAUUUUGAUCUUCUAUGGACCUGUUGUUUUCCGUGGAAUUCUUGCAACACUGUACUACAAGCACUUCCUUCUACUAAGUGAAGCCAUUUUCAUUUUGUUGAUGGAAUCCAUAUCAGUUGAACAGAUUAAUCAUGCAGAGAAACUACUGUGGAACUUUUGUUCCCAAAUGGCUAAUCUAUAUGGUGAGCGGUACGAAACUGCAAAUGUACACCUUCUUGUGCACCUAGCAGACAGUGUGAAGGCCCUUGGUCCAUUAUGGACUCAUUCGUGUUUCCAUUUUGAGGACAAGAAUGGCUAUUUGUUAAGGCUCAUACAUGGCACUCAAAAUAUACCUAUGCAGAUGGUCCAUGCAGUCAAACUUGUGCAGUCUAUUCCUGUUAUUUCACAAACCAUAAAACCAGGGAAUGCCAUAGCUGAAUUUUACACACGGAUGACUAAAGAUGAUAGUUUCUGUCAGGAAAACAAUGAUUUGUCUAGGACCAAACUAUAUGGAGCAUCUAGUGAACUUCAACUGGACACAGUUCAACUCUCUACAUUGGAAAGACAUACUGGUCAUUGCAUCAGUUCUAAAACAGUAAGGAUCUUUCACAGGGCACAAGUUAAGAGAAAUUAUCUCACAUCAAAACACUAUGGGAAAGGCAAUAGAAGAAACAAUUUUACAGUCAUUUUUUCUAGUGAUGGACAAAGAAAGUAUGGACAGAUUGAGUACUUCUUUACCUCAGAACAUUCAUAUGCCAAAUGGGCCCUUGUUCAUGAAUUCAAAGUUGCUGGUUUUUCUUUGCUGCAUGAUAGUGUAACAAAUGGUACAUGCAGUCAUGUUGUUCCCCUAUUGGAAACCUCUGUUAAUACAGUAGUUUCCUUGGAUCAUAUAUUGGGUAAAGUUGUUUUCUUUGACUUGACAUCUAUGCCUGGCAUUGUUUUUGUAGCUAAUUUCCCAAACACACUUGAAAAGUUUUAA